Molecule: ribosomal RNA, 492 nt
Filed under: uncultured bacterium
Lineage: Bacteria
Description: partial 16S ribosomal RNA
Rfam family: Bacterial small subunit ribosomal RNA
Source: RNAcentral
AGUGAACGCUGGCGGUAGGCCUAACACAUGCAAGUCGAACGGCAGCACAGUAAGAGCUUGCUCUUACGGGUGGCGAGUGGCGGACGGGUGAGGAAUACAUCGGAAUCUACUUUUUCGUGGGGGAUAACGUAGGGAAACUUACGCUAAUACCGCAUACGACCUACGGGUGAAAGCAGGGGAUCUUCGGACCUUGCGCGAUUGAAUGAGCCGAUGUCGGAUUAGCUAGUUGGCGGGGUAAAGGCCCACCAAGGCGACGAUCCGUAGCUGGUCUGAGAGGAUGAUCAGCCACACUGGAACUGGGACACGGUCCAGACUCCUACGGGAGGCAGCAGUGGGGAAUAUUGGACAAUGGGCGCAAGCCUGAUCCAGCCAUACCGCGUGGGUGAAGAAGGCCUUCGGGUUGUAAAGCACUUUUGUUGGGAAAGAAAAGCAGCAGGUUAAUAACCAGCUGUUCUGACGGUACCCAAAGAAUAAGCACCGGCUAACUUCGUG